This is a long non-coding RNA of Rosa rugosa (rugosa rose), 1063 nucleotides long. RefSeq lists it as uncharacterized. The record is from RefSeq and is a predicted model, not a curated record. Lineage: Eukaryota; Viridiplantae; Streptophyta; Magnoliopsida; Rosales; Rosaceae. The transcript is spliced from 4 exons.
CAUUUAAAAAAAAUAAAUUAGUUUGGUGUUCAUUUUAGUAACAUAUAUAUGGUUUAUUUGCAGACAAAGUUUGACCCUGUGAGUAUAGGCUGUAUAGCUAUUUACUUGCUGCCAACUGGGAAUGUUUUGUGCCUUCAUUGGAUAUCGUGUGCAGAAAUAUGACAUUUCUACCUGGGAGAACCUCUUACGGUGUAAAAUUUCUCCUUAACAGGAGUUCUGGAGGUGUAUGGGACGUUGCUGCAUAAAUUGUUUACCUCUGAGCCUUGAUGCUCGAUGAUUUCACUCUCUUUAUGGCGUGCAAGUGAAAUCAUAAAUGUGGUUUUGCUCAUAUUUUCAUAAGAGGUCAGUAUAGUAUACUAUGACACCAUAAACAUUACAUAAACAGAUCUGAUAGAGUGCACAUAAUGCAAGCUUGUUGUUGUUUUGACCUGAUUAAUUGUUUGGUUGCAGUUUGUAACUGUUAUUUUCUAUCAAAUCUGCAGUUUUGAUGUUUGAUUAAUAGUGAUUAAAUGAAUUGUUUGUGAAUGUAUUUGGAAAUAUAUAUUAAAAGUGUUAGUAUUUGGAAGCAAUGGGAGAGAAAGUGACUGCUUAUUCAUAGGGUUGUUUUUGUAGCAUUGCAGAUUAGCUUGGAGAGAGCUUGGACAACAACUUCAACUUCAACUGUUAUUUGGCUAUGUCAAGAAUGCCAAACUUUGAUUGAAGACCAUGAUAAGAUAAAGCUUCUCAGCAAUGCGAGGAAUAACUUGAAUACAACCUUAAAGGUUUGUGAACUUUGUUCUCAUGAAUUUUCAAUUUUCGGUUCACAAAGAGAAGGAGAUUGUGCAAGUAGUUAGAACUGUUUGCUUCAUGCAAGAAUGAUGAUUGAUGAAUACUUUUCAUUAUGUCUUAUUAGCACUUGAUUGCAGGGAUCCCAUACCUUCGGUAAUGUAACUUUCCAUUAGCCUUGAGAGUAAACCAAUUGUCACUCUGUAAACCAGUUGGUAAAGCUAAUAGUUUUUUUAAUUGUAUACAGGACGUGCAUAUAUAGACUAAAACUUUAUUCUUUGCAUAGCUGCUAAGCUUA